UACGUAGGGUGCAAGCGUUGUCCGGAAUUAUUGGGCGUAAAGAGCUCGUAGGCGGUCUGUCGCGUCGGCUGUGAAAACCUGGGGCUUAACUCCGGGCUUGCAGCCGAUACGGGCAGACUAGAGUUCGGCAGGGGAGACUGGAAUUCCUGGUGUAGCGGUGAAAUGCGUAGAGAUCGGGAGGAACACCAGUGGCGAAGGCGGCUACCUGGACCAGCACUGACACUGAGGCACGAAAGCGUGGGGAGCAAACAGG
This 253-nucleotide ribosomal RNA is filed under the name uncultured bacterium. RNAcentral describes it as "partial 16S ribosomal RNA". It matches the Rfam family "Bacterial small subunit ribosomal RNA", at positions 524 to 776 of the family's 1533-position model. The record is from RNAcentral.